GACGAACGCUGGCGGCGUGCCUAAUACAUGCAAGUCGAACGAGAGCGACCGGUGCUUGCACUGGUCAAUCUAGUGGCGAACGGGUGAGUAACACGUGGGUAACCUGCCCAUCAGAGGGGGAUAACAUUCGGAAACGGAUGCUAAAACCGCAUAGGUCUUCGAACCGCAUGGUUUUAAGAGGAAAGGAGGCGCUCGCUUCUGCUGAU
Molecule: ribosomal RNA, 206 nt
Filed under: uncultured Granulicatella sp.
Lineage: Bacteria; Bacillati; Bacillota; Bacilli; Lactobacillales; Carnobacteriaceae
Description: partial 16S ribosomal RNA
Rfam family: Bacterial small subunit ribosomal RNA
Source: RNAcentral